CAACAAAGUGAAAGCCAUCUAUGGCCAUGCCCGAUCCCAUCUGAUCUCGGAAGCUAAGCAGGGUGGUGUCCGGUUAGUACUUGGAUGGGAGACCACCCAGGAAGACCAGGUGCUGUAGG
RNAcentral lists this ribosomal RNA (119 nucleotides) under Pteropus alecto (black flying fox). Lineage: Eukaryota; Metazoa; Chordata; Mammalia; Chiroptera; Pteropodidae. The record is from RNAcentral.